RNAcentral lists this ribosomal RNA (486 nucleotides) under uncultured bacterium. Its description in RNAcentral is "partial 16S ribosomal RNA". It matches the Rfam family "Bacterial small subunit ribosomal RNA", at positions 30 to 507 of the family's 1533-position model. The record is from RNAcentral.
AUUGAACGCUGGCGGCAUGCCUUACACAUGCAAGUCGAACGGCAGCACGGGUGCUUGCACCUGGUGGCGAGUGGCGAACGGGUGAGUAAUACAUCGGAACAUGUCCUGUAGUGGGGGAUAGCCCGGCGAAAGCCGGAUUAAUACCGCAUACGAUCUACGGAUGAAAGCGGGGGACCUUCGGGCCUCGCGCUAUCGGGUUGGCCGAUGGCUGAUUAGCUAGUUGGUGGGGUAAAGGCCUACCAAGGCGACGAUCAGUAGCUGGUCUGAGAGGACGACCAGCCACACUGGGACUGAGACACGGCCCAGAUUCCUACGGGAGGCAGCAGUGGGGAAUUUUGGACAAUGGGCGAAAGCCUGAUCCAGCAAUGCCGCGUGUGUGAAGAAGGCCUUCGGGUUGUAAAGCACUUUUGUCCGGAAAGAAAUCCUUGGCCCUAAUACGGUCGGGGGAUGACGGUACCGGAAGAAUAAGCACCGGCUAACUACGUG